This 278-nucleotide ribosomal RNA is filed under the name uncultured bacterium. Its description in RNAcentral is "partial 16S ribosomal RNA". It matches the Rfam family "Bacterial small subunit ribosomal RNA", at positions 80 to 354 of the family's 1533-position model. The record is from RNAcentral.
UACUCCCGCCGGCGACCGGCGCACGGGUGAGUAACACGUAUGAAACCUGCCCGUAGCAGGGGGAUAAGCGGAAGAAAUUCCGUCUAAUACCGCGUAACAACCCAUGGAGGCAUCUCUGUGGGUUUAAAGGAAGCGAUUCCGGCUACGGAUGGGCAUGCGGCGCAUUAGGCAGUAGGCGGGGUAACGGCCCACCUAACCGACGAUGCGUAGGGGUUCUGAGAGGAAGGUCCCCCACACUGGUACUGAGACACGGACCAGACUCCUACGGAAGGCAGCAG